GCGAACUCUGGUAAGCUGACACAUCCCGGCCAAUCUCCGGCAGACCCUCCCUCCCUCCUCCUGGACAGCAUCCAUGUUGAAGCUGCCUUCAACAUGGAUGCUGUCCAGGAAGUAGGAGGGUCUGGGAGGGAGGGUCUGCCGGAGAUUGGCUGGGAUGUGUCAGCUGACUGGAGUU
Molecule: microRNA precursor, 175 nt
Filed under: Pelobates cultripes (western spadefoot toad)
Lineage: Eukaryota; Metazoa; Chordata; Amphibia; Anura; Pelobatidae
Source: RNAcentral